This 736-nucleotide non-coding RNA is filed under the name Penthicodes variegata. Lineage: Eukaryota; Metazoa; Arthropoda; Insecta; Hemiptera; Fulgoridae. The record is from RNAcentral.
AGUAAAAUUUGAUCUUUGUUUUUUUAUUUAUCUUUAAAUUUAUUAUGCAUGUAAAUUUUUGUUAGUUAUUUUAUUCUUAAUGAUUUUAUCUUUAUUUUCAGUAUUUAAUUUUUUUUUAUCUGUGUUUUGAUUAAAGUUAUAUUUUUAAGAACUGAAAAAUGUUGUGCCAGCAUUUGCGGUUAUACAUCAGGUUCAAGAUAUUUUUUUUUAGAAUUUAGUUUUAUAAUAAUUUUUAUUAUUUUUAUUUAGGUGAAAUUUAUAUUUAUAAAAUUUUGUUUUACUGAAAAAAUUUGGGUAUAAACCAGGAUUAGAUACCCUGUUAUUCAAAUAUAAGUUAUGUUUCUAGGGGAGUAAAUUUUUUUAAUUGAAAUUUAAUAGAUCUGGCGGUUUUUAAAUCUUUUUAGAGGAACCUGUAAUUUAAAUGAUAGUCCACGAUUUUUUCUACCAUCAAUAUCUUGUAUAUCGCUGUCGUUGAAUGUAAUGAAAAUUUAUUUUCUUUUUCUUUUGUUGGAUUUAUGUUAGGUCAAGAUGCAGUUAUUUGGUGGUUAUUAUGGGUUACUUUUAUUUUUGUUUAUUGGAUUUUAAAUAUUUGGUUUACUUGAAUUUGGAUUUAAAAGUAAUUUUUUUAAAAUUGAUUAUUUGAAUUUUGCUCUUAAUUAUGUACAUAUCGCCCGUCACUCUCAUAAAUUGAGAUAAGUCGUAACAAAGUAGAUGUACUGGAAAGUGUAUCUAGAAA